CUGGAAGCUUCAACUCCGAGAGUGGAAAAUGGCAGUCGACAGACUGUCAGCUCUGCCCAGCUGGAUACUUCUGCACUGGGGAGGAACUGAAGCAACAGGGAGGAAAUGACUGAGCUCACAUGAGUCUGUACCAGAGCUGGGACCGCAUCAGAGAGCCUCAGAAACACAGUUGAGCAUUUUAUUUGGAAGGUUCUGGAGCACGUACUCGUGAGCUGUGUCCUGCUGGGUACUUCUGUCUGCCAGGUACCAACUUCAGUACAGAGCAUCUGUGUCCCAAGGGUACCUUUGGCCCCAGGACUGGUGCCACUGGUGAGUCUGACUGGGAGCCCUGCCCAGCAGGUGAGUGGGGGCUUGGCACAAGAAACCCAGGGGGACAUACAUGGGAAGGUUGGGGAAAAUAUGACUUCUUCCUUCAUCUUAUUGACUCCUCUGCUGAUCUUCUGUGCAGGCCCUCACACUGAGAUAGCUUUUCUGUUCGUUUUAGGCAUGUAUUGCUCAGCACCAGGUCUGCCACAGCCUUCUGGAUUUUGCCAUUCAGGUUAUCGUUGUGCCAAGGGAGCCAUCAGCCCAGCUCCCUUCAAACCCAGGAUGAGUGAGUGCCAGGGGGCAGCACGGCAUUCCUAGUGACUCCUGGGAACAAGGACUGGACCUUCACAACCUUGUAGCUCCUGGUGUAACGUUUUCCCAGCAUUACUGCUCUGUAUGGGGCUGCUCAUGUCUUUUACUGCUGCCCUAGAGAGCUCCUCAAAUGUGAUGACAUGCUGCUCUUAAUGUCUGAUGGAAUAUGUUGCUGCCUACUAAUAAAUUCUGGCCAGACCUCCA
RNAcentral lists this long non-coding RNA (822 nucleotides) under Calidris pugnax (ruff). RNAcentral's name for it is "lncRNA (ENSCPUG00000019390.1)". Lineage: Eukaryota; Metazoa; Chordata; Aves; Charadriiformes; Scolopacidae. The record is from RNAcentral.